GAUGAACGCUGGCGGCGUGCCUAAUACAUGCGAGUCGAGCGAACAGAUGAGGAGCUUGCUCCUCUGACGUUAGCGGCGGACGGGUGAGUAACACGUGGAUAACCUACCUAUAAGACUGGGAUAACUUCGGGAAACCGGAGCUAAUACCGGAUAAUAUAUUGAACCGCAUGGUUCAAUAGUGAAAGACGGUUUUGCUGUCACCUAUAGAUGGAUCCGCGCCGCAUUAGCUAGUUGGUAAGGUAACGGCUUACCAAGGCAACGAUGCGUAGCCGACCUGAGAGGGUGAUCGGCCACACUGGAACUGAGACACGGUCCAGACUCCUACGGGAGGCAGCAGUAGGGAAUCUUCCGCAAUGGGCGAAAGCCUGACGGAGCAACGCCGCGUGAGUGAUGAAGGUCUUCGGAUCGUAAAACUCUGUUAUUAGGGAAGAACAAAUGUGUAAGUAACUAUGCACGUCUUGACGGUACCUAAUCAGAAAGCCACGGCUGACUACGUG
This 497-nucleotide ribosomal RNA is filed under the name uncultured bacterium. RNAcentral describes it as "partial 16S ribosomal RNA". It matches the Rfam family "Bacterial small subunit ribosomal RNA", at positions 28 to 507 of the family's 1533-position model. The record is from RNAcentral.